AAUUUUGCGCAAUGGGCGAAAGCCUGACGCAGCAACGCCGCGUGAAUGACGAAGCCCUUCGGGGUGUAAAGUUCUGUCAGUAGGGACGAAUUUUGACGGUACCUACAGAGGAAGCACCGGCUAACUCCGUGCCAGCAGCCGCGGUAAUACGGAGGGUGCAAGCGUUGUCCGGAAUCAUUGGGCGUAAAGAGUUCGUAGGCGGUUUGUUAAGUUUGGUGUUAAAGCCCGAGGCUCAACCUCGGUUCGGCACUGGAUACUGGCAAACUUGAAUAUGGUAGAGGUAAAGGGAAUUCCUGGUGUAGCGGUGAAAUGCGUAGAUAUCAGGAGGAACACCGGUGGCGUAAGCGCUUUACUGGGCCAUUAUUGACGCUGAGGAACGAAAGCCGGGGUAGCAAAUGGGAUUAGAUACCCCAGUAGUCCCGGCCGUA
This 428-nucleotide ribosomal RNA is filed under the name uncultured marine bacterium. RNAcentral describes it as "bacterial SSU rRNA". It matches the Rfam family "Bacterial small subunit ribosomal RNA", at positions 360 to 804 of the family's 1533-position model. The record is from RNAcentral.